This 253-nucleotide ribosomal RNA is filed under the name uncultured bacterium. RNAcentral's name for it is "partial 16S ribosomal RNA". It matches the Rfam family "Bacterial small subunit ribosomal RNA", at positions 524 to 776 of the family's 1533-position model. The record is from RNAcentral.
UACGAAGGGGGCUAGCGUUGUUCGGAAUUACUGGGCGUAAAGCGUGCGCAGGCGGCUUCUCAAGUCAGGGGUGAAAGCCCAGAGCUCAACUCUGGAAUUGCCUUUGAGACUGAGUGGCUUGAGUACGAGAGAGGUGAGUGGAACUCCCAGUGUAGAGGUGAAAUUCGUAGAUAUUGGGAAGAACACCGGUGGCGAAGGCGGCUCACUGGCUCGUAACUGACGCUCAUGCACGACAGCGUGGGGAUCAAACAGG